AGCGAACGCCGGCGGCAGGCCUAACACAUGCAAGUCGAACGAACCUUUCGGGGUUAGUGGCGGACGGGAGAGUAACACGUGGGAACGUGCCUUUAGGUUCGGAAUACCUCAGGGAAACUUGUGCUAAUACCGAAUGUGCCCUUCGGGGGAAAGAUUUAUCGCCUUUAGAGCGGCCCGCGUCUGAUUAGCUAGUUGGUUGAGGUAAUGGCUCACCAAGGCGACGAUCAGUAGCUGGUCUGAGAGGAUGAUCAGCCACAUUGGGACUGAGACACGGCCCAAACUCCUACGGGAGGCAGCAGUGGGGAAUCUUGCGCAAUGGGCGAAAGCCUGACGCAGCCAUGCCGCGUGAAUGAUGAAGGUCUUAGGAUUGUAAAAUUCUUUCACCGGGGACGAUAAUGACGGUACCCGGAGAAGAAGCCCCGGCUAACUUCGUG
This 434-nucleotide ribosomal RNA is filed under the name uncultured bacterium. RNAcentral describes it as "partial 16S ribosomal RNA". It matches the Rfam family "Bacterial small subunit ribosomal RNA", at positions 29 to 507 of the family's 1533-position model. The record is from RNAcentral.